GAUGAAGAACGUAGCGAAAUGCGAUAAGUAAUGUGAAUCGCAGAAUUCAGUGAAUCAUCGAAUCUUUGAACGCACAUUGCGCCCGCCAGUAUUCUGGCGGGCAUGCCUGUUCGAGCGUCAUUUCAACCAUCAAGCCCCCGGCUUGUGUUGGGGACCUGCGGCUGCCGCAGGCCCUGAAAACCAGUGGCGGGCUCGCUAGUCACUCCGAGCGUAGUAAUACAUCUCGCUCAGGGCGUGCUGCGGGUUCCGGCCGUUAAAAAGCCUUAUUUACCCAAGGUUGACCUCGGAUCAGGUAGGAAGACCCGCUGAACUUAAGCAUAUCAAUAAGCGGAGGA
RNAcentral lists this unclassified non-coding RNA (335 nucleotides) under soil metagenome. RNAcentral describes it as "partial contains 5.8S ribosomal RNA, internal transcribed spacer 2, and large subunit ribosomal RNA". The stretch from base 1 to 120 matches the Rfam family "5.8S ribosomal RNA", at positions 35 to 154 of the family's 154-position model. The record is from RNAcentral.